CGGGUCGGUGGGCAGCGGGCUGCCGGUGAUUGACCAGCUUCUCUCCCUGAUCUGUCAGCCUGCUGCCUUGGCGCCUCCCCUCUCCUCUAUAAAUGAACGAAGUCUAUUCAUUGCGUUCACAGCGCGCCUGCUGAAGUGAGAGGAACUGGAAGGCUUCGCGGGAUGUGUUGACAGACCAGUAUUUCGCCUCUCUUUGGUUCCCUCUCGGUCUUAGCUUGUGUUUUCAACGCUGCGGCGUUAUCUCAAACAGCUCCUGUUAGUGUUAUUAUUCUUUGAUUAUUUCGCUGCCUCUGUGUGAGCCGUCGGUUAUCUAAGAUGAAGGCUGUUACUCCAGUCCACCCCCAGGACUCCUCCUCCUCCUCCUCGUCCUCCUCCUCCUCCUCCUUCUCCUCCAGCGGCAGCAGCCAGCUCUCCCUGCACUAUCUGUCGAAGCAGAGCCUGAACAUCGCCCGGUGCAGGAUGGAAGAGGAGGACCUGUUCUGCCUGCAGUACGACAUGAACGACUGCUACAGCCGCCUGAAGCGCCUGGUGCCUACCAUUCCGCAGGAUAAGAAAGUGAGCAAAGUGGAGAUCCUCCAGCAUGUCAUAGACUACAUCCUGGACCUGCAGCUGGCCCUGGAGACGCACCCUUCCCUUCAGAAGCAGCAGCAGCAGCCACAGCGGACCUGCCCUCCAGCAGCCUCCAACCCGAACAGGACGCCGCUCACGGUGCUCAACAUUGACCACCAUCAGGAACAAACAGGGGGGAACGGGGCGUCUACUGUCAAAGCCUUAAAAAUAGAACAUCAAUAGUGAAAAAACCAGAGGACUCAGUUUUAUGCCGCUGAGACGUCGACGCUGCAUUUGGUGUGCAGGCAGUGCAGAGCCGCUCCAAAAGUCAGCAAAGCUUCGCCAGGGACUCACACCCAACUGGAGGCACAGUCACAAGGAGGAUUGCAAAAACCGCUGGGAGGAAUUAAACCCAAAUAAAAUCACUUUUUCAAAUCAGCUUUUUUCCUUCCUAAUGUUUUUUUUUUCUUUUUUUGGUAAUUAUUAUCAUUGUUUCUGAGGAAAAAAUAGACUUAUUCCUCCCUCCUACCGGCUGCUUUAAGUUGUCAAGUCCAUUUUUUUUGUUUUCAUGCUUUUUGUUCUUAGAGUGUGAAAGCAUCGAGUCCCCUCACAGAUGUUUUUUUUGUUGUUGUUGUCUUUGGAAACCAAUUUUCAGCAGCUAUGAAAACAGAAUUGUGCUUGAGCGACUCCAGUUUAAAGCUUUACUAAACUGCGAAUAAAAAAAAAAAAUCAUUGUAUAUGUUCUGCACAUCUAUUGUUUAAAAUAGAUGAUUUGUGUUUGAAUAGGGACGCUGUCCCUGGUAUCUUAAAAUGUUUGCUAUUGUAAAGAACAAUUCUGAUUCGAGACAAUUAAGCUUGUAAAUACAGAGACACAAAUGUUCUAUUAAGGUAUGUGAAAGGACUUAUAUGCUUAAAUAGACUAUUGUAAUUAUUAUAAGAUAUUUUUUAUUGAAAACCGUUGUUUUUUUUGCAGUUCUGUAAAUAUUGUGUUUCCACUUUAGUGAAUGACCGUGUCUAUGCUCUGCCACUAAUGUCCACACAUGAUGAUCUCAUUAAACUCUUUGCAGUGUUUGAAAUAGUUUGAAAUGUAGCAUGUCAGGCUCAUUGCAGAGAUGCUGAAUGUGCACUGAAGCAGCCCCUCUUUCUGAGUUGAUGCUUCCUCCUUUGGCUUUCUCCUGAAUUGUUCUCUUCUUUUUAGCUCUGACAGUGCUGAGUUGCUCUCAGAGAUAGAUCGGUGUCUUGAAAUUGUCUUGAUUUGAUUCUGUUAGGAUGGACACAUGUUAAAAAUGAAACCGAGGAGUACUUCUGUUAGGAAAAAUCUCCACGGCUCACUAUCCCUGCGUCUCUCCUUAGGAAGUAAAUGAUUUACUCUGGAAAAUCAUUAAACUUUGGUUAUGAAUUGGUGAAAUACUCUAACAAACAGGUGAUGUGUCUAUGGUGACCUGAAACGAUUGUUCUGCUGGAGUGUGGGCAGCUUUUAUCAGUGUAAAGGGGGGAGAAAAACUUUGAACUUUCAUGACAUUCAGCACUGAAUUUACCUCACCACCCUCCUGCCAGUGCACGAGGGCACUUGUACGUUAUGGUCUACUGCACUGUUGGACUUGACCACUGGCUUUGGGGGGAGUUGCCGAAACAAUUAAAAUUUCCCAGAAGAA
Molecule: RNA transcript, 2204 nt
Organism: Fundulus heteroclitus (mummichog)
Lineage: Eukaryota; Metazoa; Chordata; Actinopteri; Cyprinodontiformes; Fundulidae
Gene: id4
Gene name: inhibitor of DNA binding 4
Exons: 4
Source: RefSeq, a predicted model, not a curated record